This is a long non-coding RNA of Balaenoptera acutorostrata (minke whale), 693 nucleotides long. RefSeq lists it as uncharacterized. The record is from RefSeq and is a predicted model, not a curated record. Lineage: Eukaryota; Metazoa; Chordata; Mammalia; Artiodactyla; Balaenopteridae. The transcript is spliced from 3 exons.
AGUGGUGUGGACGCAGCCUUCGCCAUCCGGGCCCCGGGACGCUCCAGCCUCAGUCUUGACUCCUCCCCUUGCCUACCAGCAGCUGCCUGUUGAUUCCUGCCCAUCCUUUGACAGGACCAGCCCAGCUGCCAACAGAUAUCUCGGGCCCGGUGUCUGUACCCUGGGACCUGUUGGCCGCUGGCCCCUGGCAGCAUCCUCGGUGGCUUUGGUGCUGGAGGACAAGCACACACAGUUCUCACGCUUGACCUGGAGGUUUCCAGCUGGGGAGCUUCCCUGAUGGGAUGGGGUGACUUGGGGCAUUAAGGAGAACCACUUUAUAACCUGCUUAGAAGACCUGGAUGGAACUGGAAAGACAGGCAUGAGGAACUCACUGUCAUGGGACAAAUGAACUACUUCCUUCAGCAGAGAGGAACCAGCAGGCCCAGAGGGGACACAGGUUCGAGCCCUGGUCCGGGAAGAUCCCACAUGCCGUGGAGCAACUAAGCCCGUGCGCCACAACUACUGAGCCUGCGCUGUACAGCCUGCAAAACCCAACUACUGAGCCCGCGUGCCACAGCUACUGAAGCCCGUGCGCCUAGAGCCUGUGCUCUGCAACAAGAGAAGCCACUGCAAUGAGAAGCCCGCGCACCGCAACGAAGAGUAGCCCCCGCUUACCACAACUAGAGAAAGCCCGUGCGCAGCAACAAAGACCCA